CAAAUAUGUAUGCUUUAUUAUGCUUUAUGACACACAAAGUAAUCAAAUCUGCUGCGUCCCAGAAGAACAGCACAACACAUUCAUAUGGGUGAUGAUCAGGGUGAUGAUGUGAGUUAAAACAUCAGCCUAUAAUAUAUUAUCCAGUUAAUGAUGCACACACACGCCUGUUGUCUGAAGAGGUGCGUUUGUUUUUUGAGCAUUGAUUGUUCUUUGAGUAAGUGGAGACACAUUGGUUGUUUUUCACUGAUCAGAGUGGAUCAGAGAUUACAGCGUCUCCCCCACCAUUGAUUAAGAGGGGCCCCCGGCCCCCACCAAGCGCCACCCCCACCUCCCCAAGAAAGGAAAAUGAAAUUUUCACUCCUACAAUUGUCCACUCCUCGCUGCGCACGCCAACCCUAUUGAAAGCUACUUUAGUUAAACGAAAGGCCAAUCUCACGUCAGCUCCUACUUACUAAAAACACUGACCUCAAACGCAGAUUUCCAAUCUCUGCGCAGCAGCUGCACGAGAGUUUGAACCAAAUGUAGGAAAAAGGCGCACUAGACGGGAUCUGGCGCGAUUAAAAGGUCAGCGCAUUCUUUAACGCAUUGUAAAGCUGCAAUAUUGUAUAACCUUGUCAGUCAUGUCUUCUGCUUUUAGGUUUAUCUUAUCUUUGUCUUGGGACUACAGAUGAAAAAAACUGCACUAAAGAAAUGUUAUUUGUUCCGUCCCGUAUCAAAUAAACUAAUAAAAUGAAUAUGCAACAGAGGGAGUGGGGGGCACCGAAAAGCCAUGAGAACAUCAGAUUUGUUUGUUUUGUUAUGUGUGAGAAUAGCUCUCUGGCUGCGGGACUUGUUUGAAGCGUGUUUGUUGUUGUUGUUUUGUCAAGUAAUCAAGCCAAGGUUUUGCAUGUGUGUCUGUGUUGAUUUUUUUUAACUUGAGUGUGCGCACCGUGUUUGAGAACUCAAUGUGGUUGUUGAAGAUUGUUAUCAAAUUGUCACCCAUGAUUACACUGAAACUCGUCGUUGCUUCAUCUAUGUUCUCUCACACACACACACACACACACACACAGGAUGUCGCGUCUGAACAACAGAACAUACCACUGGCAGCCCAGUUAGCCCUAAAGCUAUAAAGCAGGGGAGCUGAAUGAUGGGCCAUGCAGCUAUUGACAGGGACCCUCUCUAAAUGUUCACAUGCUCUAAUUGCCUUUAGUCAUGCUGCUACACGCGCCGCUGUUUAAGUUACUGUUGUAAGUUGUGAAUUAAUAUGGAGUACGAAAUAUUUAAGAUGCAGCUUGUGCUUAGUUACUUUUGAAUGAUUG
Molecule: long non-coding RNA, 1298 nt
Organism: Gasterosteus aculeatus aculeatus (three-spined stickleback)
Lineage: Eukaryota; Metazoa; Chordata; Actinopteri; Perciformes; Gasterosteidae
Source: Ensembl